UUACUUUCUGCAAAGUUAUAUUUGUCUGACGAGAAACAUGUUGUAUGACUACUCUAUUGAUCCUGAGUAGCUUUAAACCACACUUCUUGUGUUUGUAUUGCCUCUAAUGUUCGAUCCAUUGGCUAGAUGGAAAAAGGUAUGUGCAUAUUCUAUUUUUAAGGUAUGUUUGUCUGGAUCGCCAUUAAUUUAAAUAGAUAUUUUGGAUUUUCAGCUUCUCGGACUCAUGCAUCUAAAUCUAUUUGGAUAAGAGGCAAAUAAAAUUUUUAAAGGGUCUGGAAG
RNAcentral lists this unclassified non-coding RNA (279 nucleotides) under Hevea brasiliensis (rubber tree). Lineage: Eukaryota; Viridiplantae; Streptophyta; Magnoliopsida; Malpighiales; Euphorbiaceae. The record is from RNAcentral.